Molecule: long non-coding RNA, 437 nt
Organism: Malaya genurostris
Lineage: Eukaryota; Metazoa; Arthropoda; Insecta; Diptera; Culicidae
Exons: 3
Source: RefSeq, a predicted model, not a curated record
CAUAACCUUGGUUACUGCUUAGUGAAGACUUGAGAAUUGUAAACAAAACAAAUGGGAAAACGGGUAUUUCUAAGGAAAAAUUAAAAUUCCUCGAGUGAAUAAUCUCUUUGUGCAGAAUGUCCAACUGAUCUAGAAAUUAUCGGAUAUACUAUCCUGCAAAAUCGUUUUGUUUUGAUUGGUCACUAUAAACAUCGUUCUCCCCCAGAUAGUUUAAUAAAUACAAUGUACAAUGUUACAAAUUAACGUUCGUGCACCGAGUCGUAUACGAACUUUGACUUCACCGGAUAUUUCAGCGAAGCGCUAUCGAUUAGGGUUGUGUUGCAGCAAGGUAAUGACGUCAUAAUUUUGAAAAAAAAAACAGCUGCACGAUUUUAAAUAAGCAACACUUUCAAACUCAUGGAAUGACCAUCGUUCAAACUCAUGGAAUGCCCAUCAGA